GUGGGGGAUAUUGCACAAUGGGGGAAACCCUGAUGCAGCGACGCCGCGUGAGGGAAGAAGGUUUUCGGAUUGUAAACCUCUGUCCUUGGUGAAGAUAAUGACGGUAGCCAAGGAGGAAGCCACGGCUAACUACGUGCCAGCAGCCGCGGUAAUACGUAGGUGGCAAGCGUUGUCCGGAAUUACUGGGUGUAAAGGGAGCGUAGGCGGGAUCAUAAGUUGAUUGUCAAAUCUAUGGGCUUAACCCAUAGCCGCGAUCAAAACUGUGAUUCUUGAGUGAAGUAGAGGCAGGCGGAAUUCCUAGUGUAGCGGUGAAAUGCGUAAAUAUUAGGAGGAACACCAGUGGCGAAGGCGGCCUGCUGGGCUUUAACUGACGCUGAGGCUCGAAAGCGUGGGUAGCAAACAGGAUUAGAAACCCUAGUAGUCC
RNAcentral lists this ribosomal RNA (424 nucleotides) under uncultured bacterium. RNAcentral describes it as "bacterial SSU rRNA". It matches the Rfam family "Bacterial small subunit ribosomal RNA", at positions 354 to 796 of the family's 1533-position model. The record is from RNAcentral.